This is a long non-coding RNA of Xiphophorus hellerii (green swordtail), 127 nucleotides long. RefSeq lists it as uncharacterized. The record is from RefSeq and is a predicted model, not a curated record. The transcript is spliced from 3 exons. Lineage: Eukaryota; Metazoa; Chordata; Actinopteri; Cyprinodontiformes; Poeciliidae.
UUCAUGAGAAAUUAAGAGGUAUUUCUAAAUUAACGUUCAAAGUUAAAUGACUUCCUUUAAGCCUUCCUGAAUAUAAAAACCUGGAAAACUGAGAAUCUUCAGACAUGUUUGGUUUGAGACAAUAACA